GAGGACCGAACCGACUAAUGUUGAAAAAUUAGCGGAUGACCUGUGGCUGGGGGUGAAAGGCCAAUCAAACCGGGAGAUAGCUGGUUCUCCCCGAAAGCUAUUUAGGUAGCGCCUCGUGAAUUCAUCUCCGGGGGUAGAGCACUGUUUCGGCUAGGGGGCCAUCCCGGCUUACCAACCCGAUGCAAACUGCGAAUACCGGAGAAUGUUAUCACGGGAGACACACGGCGGGUGCUAACGUCCGUCGUGAAGAGGGAAACAACCCAGACCGCCAGCUAAGGUCCCAAAGUCAUGGUUAAGUGGGAAACGAUGUGGGAAGGCCCAGACAGCCAGGAUGUUGGCUUAGAAGCAGCCAUCAUUUAAAGAAAGCGUAAUAGCUCACUGGUCGAGUCGGCCUGCGCGGAAGAUGUAACGGGGCUAAACCAUGCACCGAAGCUGCGGCAGCGAACGUAUCACCCAAGACAACUUUACGGAGUUGACGAUUGACGGAGCGAAGCGACGUCAAAGCGUUCAUUAAAGUCGAGUUGGCUUAGGGAUACGUUCGUUGGGUAGGGGAGCGUUCUGUAAGCCUGUGAAGGUGUGUCGUGAGGCAUGCUGGAGGUAUCAGAAGUGCGAAUGCUGACAUAAGUAACGAUAAAGCGGGUGAAAAGCCCGCUCGCCGGAAGACCAAGGGUUCCUGUCCAACGUUAAUCGGGGCAGGGUGAGUCGACCCCUAAGGCGAGGCCGAAAGGCGUAGUCGAUGGGAAACGGGUUAAUAUUCCCGUACUUGGUGUUACUGCGAAGGGGGGACGGAGAAGGCUAUGUUGGCCGGGCGACGGUUGUCCCGGUUUAAGCGUGUAGGUGUGUGUUCCAGGUAAAUCCGGUUCACUUUAACACUGAGGCGUGACGACGAGGCACUACGGUGCUGAAGCAACAAAUGCCCUGCUUCCAGGAAAAGCCUCUAAGCAUCAGGUAACAUCAAAUCGUACCCCAAACCGACACAGGUGGUCAGGUAGAGAAUACCAAGGCGCUUGAGAGAACUCGGGUGAAGGAACUAGGCAAAAUGGUGCCGUAACUUCGGGAGAAGGCACGCUGACACGUAGGUGAAGUGAUUUACUCAUGGAGCUGAAGUCAGUCGAAGAUACCAGCUGGCUGCAACUGUUUAUUAAAAACACAGCACUGUGCAAACACGAAAGUGGACGUAUACGGUGUGACGCCUGCCCGGUGCCGGAAGGUUAAUUGAUGGGGUCAGCGUAAGCGAAGCUCCUGAUCGAAGCCCCGGUAAACGGCGGCCGUAACUAUAACGGUCCUAAGGUAGCGAAAUUCCUUGUCGGGUAAGUUCCGACCUGCACGAAUGGCGUAAUGAUGGCCAGGCUGUCUCCACCCGAGACUCAGUGAAAUUGAACUCGCUGUGAAGAUGCAGUGUACCCGCGGCAAGACGGAAAGACCCCGUGAACCUUUACUAUAGCUUGACACUGAACAUUGAGCCUUGAUGUGUAGGAUAGGUGGGAGGCUUUGAAGUGUGGACGCCAGUCUGCAUGGAGCCGACCUUGAAAUACCACCCUUUAAUGUUU
Molecule: ribosomal RNA, 1550 nt
Filed under: Salmonella enterica subsp. enterica serovar Typhimurium
Lineage: Bacteria; Pseudomonadati; Pseudomonadota; Gammaproteobacteria; Enterobacterales; Enterobacteriaceae
Description: partial 23S ribosomal RNA
Rfam family: Bacterial large subunit ribosomal RNA
Source: RNAcentral